GAUGAACGCUGGCGGCGUGCCUAACACAUGCAAGUCGAACGGAGCACUUCGGUGCUUAGUGGCGAACGGGUGAGUAACGCGUGAAGAACCUGCCUUUCAGUGGGGGACAACAGUUGGAAACGACUGCUAAUACCGCAUAAUGUUAUUUGGGGGCAUCCUCGAAUAACCAAAGAUUUAUUGCUGAAAGAUGGCUUCGCGUCUGAUUAGCUAGAUGGCGGGGUAACGGCCCACCAUGGCGACGAUCAGUAGCCGGUCUGAGAGGAUGAACGGCCACAUUGGGACUGAGAUACGGCCCAGACUCCUACGGGAGGCAGCAGUGGGGAAUAUUGGGCAAUGGGCGAAAGCCUGACCCAGCAACGCCGCGUGAAGGAAGAAGGUCUUCGGAUUGUAAACUC
RNAcentral lists this ribosomal RNA (395 nucleotides) under uncultured bacterium. RNAcentral describes it as "bacterial SSU rRNA". It matches the Rfam family "Bacterial small subunit ribosomal RNA", at positions 28 to 432 of the family's 1533-position model. The record is from RNAcentral.